Non-coding RNA from Phrynosoma platyrhinos (Desert horned lizard), 71 nucleotides. NCBI's taxonomy places the organism in Eukaryota, Metazoa, Chordata, Lepidosauria, Squamata, Phrynosomatidae. The record is from the annotation of a GenBank genome assembly.
GUCAGCAUGGCGUAGUGGUUUGAGCACCGGACUACAACUCUGGAGACCAGGGUUUGAUUCCCGCCUGGCCA